CGAAAAGCUUCGGCGCUGGAGGAUGGGCCCGCGUCCCAUUAGUUAGUUGGUGAGGUAACGGCUCACCAAGGCGACGAUGGGUAGCCGGCCUGAGAGGGUGAACGGCCACACUGGGAUUGAGACACGGCCCAGACUCCUACGGGAGGCAGCAGUAGGGAAUCUUGCGCAAUGGGCGAAAGCCUGACGCAGCGACGCCGCGUGAGGGAAGAAGGCCUUCGGGUCGUAAACG
RNAcentral lists this ribosomal RNA (229 nucleotides) under uncultured bacterium. Its description in RNAcentral is "partial 16S ribosomal RNA". It matches the Rfam family "Bacterial small subunit ribosomal RNA", at positions 200 to 431 of the family's 1533-position model. The record is from RNAcentral.